GGACCGGAGCGAUCCCUCCCUCCCGCUGCAAACAGACACCGCCGGGGGCUCGGGGGACGGCUCCGAACAAUGCACGGGGCGCACAAACGCAAUUCCUCAGCCCCAGCAGGUCUCCAGGGCAAUCCCUGCUCUGCCAUAACGCGCCGCAGGAAGAACAGCAAAGACAGUCACCAAGGAUAACUUGAGACAUGCAGACCACCUGGAAGUUACCUGAAAACAAGGUGCUCCCUGGAUUGGCAGCAGAACUCCAGGCACACCAAAUGCACGAGGCAAUUUGAUUACCUUCGCUGUCAAGACAGUCUUCGGGAAGGAUUAGCAGUGUCUCAGCCCCUCA
Manacus vitellinus (golden-collared manakin) is the source of this 334-nucleotide long non-coding RNA. RefSeq lists it as uncharacterized. Lineage: Eukaryota; Metazoa; Chordata; Aves; Passeriformes; Pipridae. The transcript has 3 exons. The record is from RefSeq and is a predicted model, not a curated record.